CUUCCUUACAACCUUGGGCGCUUGAACUAUUGAAAGUAGAUUUAUUGGCAUGCUGGCGACCUGCAGCAACAAAAGAACCUGACCUCCAACCGACAAAACUCUUGCUACCAUCCCCCUAAUGUUUCUCUGAUGCGAGCGACCACCUCCUUAAAAUGGCUGACUUUGAGCCUUCCAGCCACUAUCGGCGUUCCCAGAUAUUUGACAGGGAAAGUCCCUUAUGAAAAUCUUAUUAA
Molecule: long non-coding RNA, 233 nt
Organism: Juglans microcarpa x Juglans regia
Lineage: Eukaryota; Viridiplantae; Streptophyta; Magnoliopsida; Fagales; Juglandaceae
Exons: 3
Source: RefSeq, a predicted model, not a curated record